UACGUAGGGAGCAAGCGUUGUCCGAAAUCAUUGGGCGUAAAGCGCGCGUAGGUGGCCUCAUAAGUCCGCUGUGAAAGUCAAAGGCUCAACCUUUGAAAGCCGGUGGAUACUGUGAGGCUAGAGUACGGAAGAGGCGAGUGGAAUUCCUGGUGUAGCGGUGGAAUGCGCAGAUAUCAGGAGGAACACCAAUAGCGAAGGCAGCUCGCUGGGACGUUACUGACACUGAGGCGCGAAAGCGUGGGGAGCGAACAGG
RNAcentral lists this ribosomal RNA (253 nucleotides) under uncultured bacterium. RNAcentral describes it as "partial 16S ribosomal RNA". It matches the Rfam family "Bacterial small subunit ribosomal RNA", at positions 524 to 776 of the family's 1533-position model. The record is from RNAcentral.